This 799-nucleotide ribosomal RNA is filed under the name uncultured bacterium. RNAcentral describes it as "bacterial SSU rRNA". It matches the Rfam family "Bacterial small subunit ribosomal RNA", at positions 31 to 877 of the family's 1533-position model. The record is from RNAcentral.
GUACGCUGGCGGCACGCCUAACACAUGCAAGUUGCAACGAAGUAGCAAUACUUAGUGGCAGACGGGUGAGUAACAUGUGGGUAUCUGCCCUUUGGCCUGGAAUAACACGAGGAAACUUGUGCUAAUACCGGAUAAGUCUUUACGGGGAAAGCUUUAUGCACCAUUGGAUGAGCCUGCACUUGAUUAGUUUGUUGGUGGGGUAAUGGCCUACCAAGACUGUGAUCAAUAGCUGAUUUGAGAGGAUGAUCAGCCACAUUGGGACUGAGACACGGCCCAAACUCCUACGGGAGGCAGCAGUGGGGAAUCUUGCACAAUGGAGGAAACUCUGAUGCAGCGAUGCCGCGUGAGUGAAGAAGGCCCUUGGGUUGUAAAGCUCUUUCGUCGGGGAAGAAAAUGACUGUACCCGAAUAAGAAGGUCCGGCUAACUUCGUGCCAGCAGCCGCGGUAAUACGAAGGGACCUAGCGUAGUUCGGAAUUACUGGGCUUAAAGAGUUCGUAGGUGGUUGAAAAAGUUAGUGGUGAAAUCCCAGAGCUUAACUCUGGAACUGCCAUUAAAACUUUUCAGCUAGAGUAUGAUAGAGGAAAGCAGAAUUUCUAGUGUAGAGGUGAAAUUCGUAGAUAUUAGAAAGAAUACCAAUUGCGAAGGCAGCUUUCUGGAUCAUUACUGACACUGAGGAACGAAAGCAUGGGUAGCGAAGAGGAUUAGAUACCCUCGUAGUCCAUGCCGUAAACGAUGUGUGUUAGACGUUGGAAAUUUAUUUUCAGUGUCGCAGGGAAACCGAUAAACACACCGCCUGGG